RNAcentral lists this ribosomal RNA (450 nucleotides) under uncultured bacterium. RNAcentral's name for it is "partial 16S ribosomal RNA". It matches the Rfam family "Bacterial small subunit ribosomal RNA", at positions 354 to 796 of the family's 1533-position model. The record is from RNAcentral.
GUGGGGAAUAUUGGACAAUGGGCGAAAGCCUGAUCCAGCCAUGCCGCGUGUGUGAAGAAGGUCUUCGGAUUGUAAAGCACUUUAAGUUGGGAGGAAGGGCAGUAAGUUAAUACCUUGCUGUUUUGACGUUACCGACAGAAUAAGCACCGGCUAACUUCGUGCCAGCAGCCGCGGUAAUACGACGGGUGCAAGCGUUAAUCGGAAUUACUGGGCGUAAAGCGCGCGUAGGUGGUUUUGUAAGUUGGAGGUGAAAUCCCCGGGCUCAACCUGGGAACUGCCUCCAAAACUGCAUGACUAGAGUACGGUAGAGGGUAGUGGAAUUUCCUGUGUAGCGGUGAAAUGCGUAGAUAUAGGAAGGAACACCAGUGGCGAAGGCGACUACCUGGACUGAUACUGACACUGAGGUGCGAAAGCGUGGGGAGCAAACAGGAUUAGAUACCCCAGUAGUCC